CUUGCUUUGCACUUACUCCAACAAUCCAUUGAGCAUCUGCUAUAGUUUGGAUGUUUGACAUCUCCGAACCUCAUGUUGAAAUCUGAUCCCCAGGGUGGCGAUGUUGGGAGGUGGGGCCUAGUGGGAGGUGUUUGGUUAAUGGGGGCGGAUCCCUCAUGAAUAACUUGGUGCCAUUCUCAUGGGAGUGAGUUCUCACCCUAUUAGCUCCCAUGACAGCUGUUUGUUAAAAAGAUCCUGGCACCUCCCCCACCCUCUUGCUUCUUCUUUCGCCAUGUGAUCUCUGCGGUCUCUGCACAUAAUGGUUCCCCUUCUCCUUCUGCUAUGAGUGGAAGCAGCCAGAAGCUUUCAUCAGAAGCAGACGCUGGUGCCAUACCUGCAGAACUGUCAGCCAAGCAUAAUGUAAAAUUACACUGCUCUACUGCCUUGAAGUUAGAAGAGCCUGUGUGACUUGCUUUGGUCACUAAAAUUCCACUGAUUGAAAUUGACAUAUGUCACUUUCAGAUGGAAGCUUACGUGGCCAGAUACUGUCAUGUCUGAAUGGUAGUCCUGAGAUUGCGGCAGCCCUCACAUGAUGAGCCAGAGGAGGAAGCCUCAUGUGAAAGAAAGCAGGACCCACAGCCAUAGUUGCACAGAUCUAUUCAAGCCACGCUGAUCACUGCGCUAACCUCUGGAUUUGUUUGGUUACAGCAGUGAGUUUUCAGUUACUUGCAGCCUAACACAUAUGUUGCUUGAGGUUUAGCUUUUCUGGAUCGCCCUUUUUCUUAGCCCUCCACUCCCAGCCCAAGGUGGCAAUAGAGAAGGUCAGCCUACCUCCCAUCACUCCCUUGCCUUCCGCUCCUCACUCUGAGUGGGCUCUUUCCCUCACUCAAUUCUUUUUUGGCCUCCUAUCCUGGUGACCUGUAAUGAAGAGGAGUCCUCAUAAUUAAUCAUUUGGACCAACCAUGACUUUAGCUCUGAGGUUUGUGUAGAGCCCAGCCCUUCCAUGGGGAACCUAGUGUGGAUGCCCUAGCCUUUCCCAGAAAAUCACCCUUUGAGCACUUCUCAGUUUGCUUGACAAGUUCAAAGUCAUGAGCAUUUUUGAGGUAGAGUGGAGAGGACUCCACCAGACUAUUUCCCCCUAGGAUGCUGAGAGAGUGAGAAAGAGGGUUGGUGCAUACUCAACUGAAAGGAGAUGUAAAGGACAACCGUGUGCUCUUCCAGAUCCAUUGACCCAUGCUCUGCUCUUUUUCACCCUGGCCUGUGCCCUGUGAGACUGAGCUCUGCAGACUACACCACCCAAGCUCUCUUGCCUUCUGGCUUCUAGAUUGGUAGGGCCAAUAGGAGGCAGCAGCAGGAGAUUAGAAGGAGAGACUGUCAGGUAGGGAUAUUAUUCCCUCAACACUGGGAGGAUUGGCAUCCCUUUAGGACCACAGCUCCUGCCGAGUGCCCUUCAUCCACAGCUGUGUCUCUCCCCAGAAUCUGGGAUCUUUGUCUCUCUUUACUCCUUUAGGCUAGGGGUAGUAAUGGCUCCCUGGUAUUUCUAGUCCCAGGGUGUUUCAUCAGCUCUUAGGCAUUCCCCACUGACCUCUGUGUAUGCCUCUGUCAAUAGAACAAUUAAACUCCUUCACUUGAAACCUUUAAAUGUGCAUCUGCUUCCUGCCAGAACCCUGUAAUGAAUAACAGUUCUAUGAUUUUAUUCCUGUUUUACAGAUAAAAAAAUGGGGACUCAGGAGUCCAAAUGACCUGCCUUUAAAAAGUCACUGGUAGCAAAGGGUGAAGCUGCUUUGAGACCAUGUUUUCCUGAUCCAGGUUUUGUAAUUGAUCAACUCAAUCCCUUGAUGCCCACCAAUCCCUACUGGACAUCAAGAGUGAGAGUCACAAGCAGAUGUCUCUCAAAUGGGAACUGGCUGUCAC
Molecule: long non-coding RNA, 1893 nt
Filed under: Homo sapiens (human)
Lineage: Eukaryota; Metazoa; Chordata; Mammalia; Primates; Hominidae
Description: HSALNT0097513
Source: RNAcentral